CCAAUAGCGUAUAUUAAAGUUGUUGCAGUUAAAAAGCUCGUAGUUGAAUUUCGGGGUUAGUAGGUUGGUCAUGCCUCUGGUAUGUACUGGUCUCACUGAUUCCUCCUUCCUGAUGAACCUUAAUGCCAUUAAUUUGGUGUUUUGGGGAAUUUGGACUGUUACUUUGAAAAAAUUAGAGUGUUUAAAGCAAGCUAACGCUUGAAUACAUUAGCAUGGAAUAAUGAAAUAGGACGUUCGAUCCUAUUUUGUUGGUUUCUAGGAUUGACGUAAUGAUUAAUA
Molecule: ribosomal RNA, 279 nt
Filed under: uncultured Glomus
Lineage: Eukaryota; Fungi; Glomeromycota; Glomeromycetes; Glomerales; Glomeraceae
Description: partial 18S small subunit ribosomal RNA
Rfam family: Eukaryotic small subunit ribosomal RNA
Source: RNAcentral